RNAcentral lists this ribosomal RNA (976 nucleotides) under uncultured organism. RNAcentral describes it as "bacterial SSU rRNA". It matches the Rfam family "Bacterial small subunit ribosomal RNA", at positions 497 to 1486 of the family's 1533-position model. The record is from RNAcentral.
CUAACUCCGUGCCAGCAGCCGCGGUAAUACGGAGGAUGCAGGCGUUAUCCGGAUUUAUUAGGUUUAAAGGGUGUUCAGACUGUCUGGUAAGUCAGAGGUGAAAGUCGGUUGCUUAACGAUCGAAUUGCCUUUGAAACUGUCAGACUUGAGUAUGGAUGUGGUAGGCGGAAUGUGUAGUGUAGCGGUGAAAUGCAUAGAUAUUACACAGAACUCCAAUUGCGAAAGCAGCUUACCAAACCAGCACUGACGCUGAAGCACGAAAGCGUGGGUAGCGAACAGGAUUAGAUACCCUGGUAGUCCACGCAGUAAACGAUGCUCACUCGCUGUUGGCAAUACACCGUCAGCGGCUAAGGGAAACCGAUAAGUGAGCCACCUGGGGAGUACGAUCGCAAGAUUGAAACUCAAAGGAAUUGACGGGGGCCCGCACAAGCGGUGGAACAUGUGGUUUAAUUCGAUGAUACGCGAGGAACCUUACCUGGGCUUAAAUGUGAAGUGCAUUGUUUGGAAACAGACAUUUCCUUCGGGACUCUUUACAAGGUGCUGCAUGGUUGUCGUCAGCUCGUGCCGUGAGGUGUCGGGUUAAGUCCCAUAACGAGCGCAACCCCUAUUGUUAGUUACCAGCGCGUCAAGGCGGGGACUCUAACGAGACUGCCGGUGUAAACCGCGAGGAAGGUGGGGAUGACGUCAAAUCAGCACGGCCCUUAUGUCCAGGGCUACACACGUGUUACAAUGGUCGGUACAGAGGGCAGCUAGGCAGCGAUGUCAAGCGAAUCUCGAAAGCCGAUCCCAGUUCGGAUUGGAGUCUGCAACCCGACUCCAUGAAGGUGGAAUCGCUAGUAAUCGCGCAUCAGCCAUGGCGCGGUGAAUACGUUCCCGGGCCUUGUAUACACCGCCCGUCAAGCCAUGGAAGUCUGGGGUGCCUGAAGGCCGUAACCGCAAGGAGCGGUCUAGGGUAAACAGAUGACUGGGGCUAAGU